Molecule: long non-coding RNA, 960 nt
Filed under: Chrysolophus pictus (golden pheasant)
Lineage: Eukaryota; Metazoa; Chordata; Aves; Galliformes; Phasianidae
Description: lncRNA (ENSCPIG00010006611.1)
Source: RNAcentral
CCACGCGGCAGCCGCGGGUUCAGCAUCAGCGGCAGCGUGGUGGUCGGGCCCUGCGCCGUGCUGCCCCGCGCCAUCCUCCAGUGGAACGUGAGUGCGGGAGCGGGCAGGGCGCGGGGAUGCGCUGGGGGCCGGGCCGCCCCGCUGAGCGCCGCGCUGUGCCCGCAGGUCGGAUCGCAUCGCGACAUCUCGCUGCAGAGCCUGGCGCUGUUCCGUCUGCUGGAGCCGCGGAUCGAGAUCCUGGUGCUGGGCACGGGGGACAGAGUGGAGCAGCUGCAUCCCAGCGUGCUGAGGCAGAUGCGGCUGUGCGGGAUUGCCGUGGAGGUGCAGGACACGCCCAACGCGUGUGCCACUUUCAACUUCCUGACAAGCGAGAAGCGUCUGACGGCCGCCGGCCUCAUCCCCCCGCAGGGCACCUACACGGGGCUCCCGGCCCUGCCCUCAGCCACGAACUGCUCCCCCCCGCGGCGCCGGGCCUGCCCCGCGCCGAGCGCCGCUGCGGCAGGCGAAGAAAUGCUGCAGGAUGGGCAGUCGGAGCCCAGCUGCUGGUUCAGUGCUGCCUCUCGGUUGCAGAGUGCUUUACGGCCCUGCUUGGGGGCUGCACAAGGAGAAUACACAUAAAACAGAAGUACAAAGCAAUCACGGAGUGGUUAACGCUCAGCAAAGGUGGGCUGUGAUGAGCUAUUAGGCUUGGUGUGUUCACCACCCUGCAGGGCUGGCCAGGGGCUGUGGAUCAAGGGCAGCAGCUCCUUGGGUUGGGCGUGAGGCGUCAGGGCUGCCUCCUGGCAGCAGCACCUUGCUUGCCCCAGGCUCUCCUCUGGGGUUUGUGGCUCCCUGCUGAGCCCAGAGCUGCUGCAGGAUGCUGUGGUGCUUCCCCUCCUCCCUGCGGGUGAAUGAGUGCUUGGCUGCCAUGUAAUUCCAGGUUCUGGUUUUAGCAUAUGCAAAUCUAAUUCGACAUCACCG